GAUUUUUUAUCUCUGAUUUUCUGCAGGUUGCAGGAGCUGACCGUUUGCUUUGAUUUUAACGUAGACGUGCACGACAUCGAGCUCAUCCAGUACAUCAAAGUGGACUGCUGUAAAUUGAAACGCCUUCUGCAAGGUUUGAUUGACUCAAACUCAGGUUUUAAUAUUCUGAAAUAAUAUAUGAAAUAUAAUCUAUUUUUCUUUUAAUGUGUCAAGUCUUUUCUUCUUGCAGAAAGUGUGUUUAAAUUUAAAGCCUUAAAUAAGCCAGCCCAGUUGAGUGCUAUCUACAAUUUAGAGAAGAGUUUGACGUUUAAGGACAAAAUGAUUGUGAAACUCAUCCAUGCAGAUCCCAAAUUGAUGCUACAUGACAGGAGUGUUUGUGAACCUGAAUCUAGGUAAACAGGUUCUGGAGGUCCACAGCAGCACUACAGAUCUCAUCACAGGCCUGGUGCAGAUUGUGCCGCUUGAGAACAUGGGAGAUAUUUCCCAGGAGGCCUUGGAGGUAAGGUCAUUGAAUCUCGCUGUGUAUCUGGUGCAUCUAGCAUGA
Molecule: long non-coding RNA, 544 nt
Filed under: Carassius auratus (goldfish)
Lineage: Eukaryota; Metazoa; Chordata; Actinopteri; Cypriniformes; Cyprinidae
Description: lncRNA (ENSCARG00000026951.1)
Source: RNAcentral